RNAcentral lists this ribosomal RNA (500 nucleotides) under uncultured bacterium. RNAcentral describes it as "partial 16S ribosomal RNA". It matches the Rfam family "Bacterial small subunit ribosomal RNA", at positions 28 to 507 of the family's 1533-position model. The record is from RNAcentral.
GACGAACGCUGGCGGCGUGCUUAACACAUGCAAGUCGAACGGGUCUGCCCUGUUUUUUGCGGGGUGGGUCAGUGGCGAACGGGUGAGUAACACGUGAGUAACCUGCCCCUCACUUCUGGAUAACCGCUUGAAAGGGUGGCUAAUACGGGGUGUUCUGGCUGUGCCGCAUGGUGUGGCUGGGAAAGAUUCACUUUUGUGGUGUUUUGGUGGGGGAUGGGCUCGCGGCCUAUCAGCUUGUUGGUGGGGUGAUGGCCUGCCAAGGCUUUGACGGGUAGCCGGCCUGAGAGGGUGGGCGGUCACACUGGGACUGAGAUACGGCCCAGACUCCUGCGGGAGGCAGCAGUGGAGGGUAUUGCACAAUGGGCGGAAGCCUGAUGCAGCGACGUCGCGUGAGGGAUGGAGGCCUUCGGGUUGUGAACCUCUUUCGCCGGUGAAGAAGGUCCUGCUCUUUGUGGUGGGGUUGACGGUAGCCGGGUUAUGAAGCGCCGGCUAACUACGUG